UACGUAGGGGGCAAGCGUUGUCCGGAUUUAUUGGGCGUAAAGAGCUCGUAGGCGGUUCCGUAAGUCGUGAAGUCAAAUCUCUGGGCUCAACCCAGAAUCGCUUCCGAUACUGCGGUGACUGGAGUCCGGUAGGGGAGUGUGGAAUUCCUGGUGUAGCGGUGAAAUGCGCAGAUAUCAGGAGGAACACCGGUGGCGAAGGCGGGUCUCUGGGCAGUAACUGACGCUGAGGAGCGAAAGCGUGGGGAGCGAACAGG
This 254-nucleotide ribosomal RNA is filed under the name uncultured bacterium. RNAcentral's name for it is "partial 16S ribosomal RNA". It matches the Rfam family "Bacterial small subunit ribosomal RNA", at positions 524 to 776 of the family's 1533-position model. The record is from RNAcentral.